GACGGGGGGUCCUAGCGUUGUUCGGAAUCAUUGGGCGUAAAGCGUGUGCAGGUGGCUCUGUAAGUUAGAUGUGAAAGCCUUGGGCUUAACCCAAGAAGUGCAUUUAAAACUACAAAGCUUGAGUAUGGAAGAGGGUCGUGGAAUUCCAGGUGUAGUGGUGAAAUACGUAGAUAUCUGGAGGAACACCGGUGGCGAAGGCGGCGACCUGGUCCUAUACUGACACUCAUACACGAAAGCGUGGGGAUCAAACAGG
This 253-nucleotide ribosomal RNA is filed under the name uncultured bacterium. RNAcentral's name for it is "partial 16S ribosomal RNA". It matches the Rfam family "Bacterial small subunit ribosomal RNA", at positions 524 to 776 of the family's 1533-position model. The record is from RNAcentral.